This 326-nucleotide small RNA is filed under the name uncultured bacterium. RNAcentral's name for it is "bacterial SSU rRNA". It matches the Rfam family "Bacterial small subunit ribosomal RNA", at positions 55 to 353 of the family's 1533-position model. The record is from RNAcentral.
CCUGCGAUGCAAGUCGAGCGAGAAAGUCCCUUCGGGGGCGAGUAGAGCGUCGCCCGGGUGAGUAAUAAAAAGAUAAUCUUCCCUCGAGCUUGGGAUAACCCUGCGAAAGUGGGGCUAAUACCGGAUAAGACCACAUAGCAUAUGUUACAUGGUAGAAGGUGGCUUAUAUUUAUAUGAGCUAUCACUUGAGGACGAGUCCAUGGCCUAUCAGCUUGUUGGUGAGGUAAGAGCUCACCAAGGCUAUGACGGGUAGCUGGUCUAAGAGGACGAUCAGCCACAGGCGUAUCUUAGAAACNGUCCCGAGUCCUACGGGAGGCAGCAGUGGG